AUUGAACGCUGGCGGCAGGCCUAACACAUGCCAGUCGAGCGGAUGAAGGGAGCUUGCUCCUGGAUUCAGCGGCGGACGGGUGAGUAAUGCCUAGGAAUCUGCCUGGUAGUGGGGGAUAACGUCCGGAAACGGGCGCUAAUACCGCAUACGUCCUGAGGGAGAAAGUGGGGGUUCUUCGGACCUCACGCUAUCAGAUGAGCCUAGGUCGGAUUAGCUAGUUGGUGGGGUAAAGGCCUACCAAGGCGACGAUCCGUAACUGGUCUGAGAGGAUGAUCAGUCACACUGGAACUGAGACACGGUCCAGACUCCUACGGGAGGCAGCAGUGGGGAAUAUUGGACAAUGGGCGAAAGCCUGAUCCAGCCAUGCCGCGUGUGUGAAGAAGGUCUUCGGAUUGUAAAGCACUUUAAGUUGGGAGGAAGGGCAGUAAGUUAAUACCUUGCUGUUUUGACGGUACCAACAGAAUAAGCACCGGCUAACUUCGUG
Molecule: ribosomal RNA, 484 nt
Filed under: uncultured bacterium
Lineage: Bacteria
Description: partial 16S ribosomal RNA
Rfam family: Bacterial small subunit ribosomal RNA
Source: RNAcentral